CAAUGGGCGCAAGCCUGAUGCAGCCAUGCCGCGUGUAUGAAGAAGGCCUUCGGGUUGUAAAGUACUUUCAGCAGUGAGGAAGGCGGAGUCGUUAAUAGCGGCCUCGUUUGACGUUAGCUGCAGAAGAAGCACCGGCUAACUCCGUGCCAGCAGCCGCGGUAAUACGGAGGGUGCGAGCGUUAAUCGGAAUUACUGGGCGUAAAGCGCAUGCAGGUGGUUUGUUUAAGUCAGAUGUGAAAGCCCGGGGCUCAACCUCGGAAUUGCAUUUGAAACUGGCAGACUAGAGUACUGUAGAGGGGGUAGAAUUUCAGGUGUAGCGGUGAAAUGCGUAGAGAUCUGAAGGAAUACCGGUGGCGAAGGCGGCCCCCUGGACAGAUACUGACACUCAGAUGCGAAAGCGUGGGGAGCAAACAGGAUUAGAUACCCUGGUAG
RNAcentral lists this ribosomal RNA (432 nucleotides) under uncultured bacterium. RNAcentral's name for it is "bacterial SSU rRNA". It matches the Rfam family "Bacterial small subunit ribosomal RNA", at positions 369 to 793 of the family's 1533-position model. The record is from RNAcentral.